RNAcentral lists this long non-coding RNA (223 nucleotides) under Capsicum annuum. RNAcentral describes it as "long non-coding RNA (CANN_LNC001421)". Lineage: Eukaryota; Viridiplantae; Streptophyta; Magnoliopsida; Solanales; Solanaceae. The record is from RNAcentral.
AAGCAUUCUUGAUGUAUCCAUUGUGCAUAUCAACAAUUGAUAAGUCUUCCGAUAAGAUACAGUUUGAUAGAGAUACAGGAGUUGUUAUUUGCGUGGAAGGUGUUGAAUCAGACGCUAUGGCUCUAGCAAUUGCGGAGACGCAUAAUGAAUAUGCGUUGUAUAUUCCAGAAUUCGAUCUUGAUAAUCUUAUUUGUUAUAUAGCAAGAGCAUUGAUGUGAAGGUG